UGUUUGUCUUAUAUUUUCUAAUCCUCCUGGGGGUUCUUAGGGUGGGGGGUGGCUAUGUCUAUUUAUUUAUUUUUAUUAUUCUCCCUGUCUCUUUCCUCAUUUAGUUAUAUGUGGGAAAGAAAUGUGCAAAAAGGAAAAAAGUGCAGACAAUGUUUUCUCUUUUAUGAUUGUUUGUUUUUCAUUUUGUCUGUAUAAUAAAAAUUGGGGUAAAAAAAAAAAAAAAAAUACAGUUCUGUAAGAGACCUUUACUUCAACUAAAUCACCAACGUUAUACUGUAUGCCACAGCCUGAGAGACAGCAGAAAUUCCCACCUUAGUGCAGUGUGUCAAGGAACUAAUAUCCUCAAUGAACAGAGGGAUCGAUACAGCAAGCACAAGCUCAGGGUCCUCCAGCUCAGCCCAAGAGAUGGUAUGUUAUUGUAUGUGUUUUGUGAAAUACUAAUCAUUCAAAACAAAAAUUUUAACUCUUAAACUCUGCAGACCCGGUACCGGGUCCGAAAAUAGCAUGCCAGAUGUUUGUGUCUCAUUUGCAUAUCCUUCCUUAUAUGGCAUUUGCCCAGAAAUGGGUUCAUUUGAAAGCUUAGAGUGCUUUCUUUACAAAGAAUACCAUUAAUUGGGGUUUUAUGAUACAUAAAGUAGUCAAAUUAAGCUAAGAAAUAUAUUCCCCCCCCCAUAAAUUUCCAUCUAACGAUUGCGAAUACGUUUUCGUAAGAAUGUGUAUUUAAAAUAUUUUUCACAAAACAGUCAAGUCAUAUAUCACAAGAAAGCUCUCAUUCUCAGGAAUCUGAUGAUGUAGAUCAUUUUAUUGUGUGACAAUCACAGAUCGAAUGAUCUUCAACAGAAUCGCGAUGUAAAAUUUCUCACCUUAUUAUUUAUACAUUUUGCACCGCUUCAGUCAGCCGCAAACAGCCACGCAUACCUAUAUACUCGAUAUAAUCUUUUAGAUUAGAAUCUCUUCUUUCAAACAAGACCAUUUUUACGUUUCUGCGUGCUUCCAUUGCUGAGAUAUAAAGCGUUUUGUACAAGUGCGCAAAAGCGCUCCAAGGGCUGUAUUAUUGAAAAGAUCUUCAAGUCAUAUAGACGGGUCUAAAUGCCUUUCUUCUGCUAUAGACGUCUGUUUUCUUUUGUGAAGCGCUAUUUGUCCUGAUAGGUGCAAUUCACAAGUCGUUCCCUCCAAUCGAAGCUGUGAUUCAGCACCGCGGGGGUGCUGGAACUGGACAGCGACUGCCCACUCCUUUUCCGCUUGUGUGACGCAAUGAUGUCUGGGAAACUGAGUUUUUUGCUGCUUCUAAACAAAGGCCACGCGAGGCAAAACUACUAAUGGCCGAAGCUCCGGAUUUAUAAUGCAUAAUAUUCAUAAAACAAGUUCUGGGUGGCCACCUUCGCCGUGGAGAGGUCAGGAUGCGCAUCUGGUAAGCCUAUACGCGUGCUACUCGCUUUCAUACAUUUGAUUCUUUAUUCUGAGG
RNAcentral lists this long non-coding RNA (1465 nucleotides) under Carassius auratus (goldfish). RNAcentral's name for it is "lncRNA (ENSCARG00000021131.1)". Lineage: Eukaryota; Metazoa; Chordata; Actinopteri; Cypriniformes; Cyprinidae. The record is from RNAcentral.